Long non-coding RNA from Penaeus indicus, 724 nucleotides. RefSeq lists it as uncharacterized. The record is from RefSeq and is a predicted model, not a curated record. Lineage: Eukaryota; Metazoa; Arthropoda; Malacostraca; Decapoda; Penaeidae. The transcript has 2 exons.
CUACGUCCCUUCGUUUUGUUUGUGUGACUGCUUGUGGCUUUUAUCAAGCUAUGAUAUACCUCCAUUCUUAUCAUAACAUGACUUGUGUAACAUAAGAUAGUUGACCAGAUGGAGAUUAGAUUACAAUGCACCCCAAAACUCAAUAAUUCUAAAUUCGAACCUCAGUGACAAGCACCUCUUCAUAAUACUAACACAAGUCGGGUUCCAUUACAGACCAAAAUCCGCAAGGAAACCAUACCCUUCACUUCUUUGAUGCAUAGUUAACUGCUGAGACGAAGGCUAGCGGUGACAAGCCUGUUGUGAAACAAUGUCAGACUGUGAAGAUUGCUGUGACUUGGAUUGCUGUGACUCGGAUUGCUGUGACUUGGAUUGCUGUGAUGGGGGAUUAUGCUGUGAUUUCUGCUUCGACGUCGCUGAAGAAGUGGAGGACAAUAAAAAGAAAGAGAAGAAGAAGAAGAAGAAGAGAGGAGAGGAAGAUUACUUAGAUGUCGUGACAUCGCAGCCGACGGCUUCGCAAAACGGAUAAAGGAAAUGGAAGGAUAAUCGCUUAUGAUGGUAGAACUGGAGAGAGAUGGAAGAAAGGGGAGGUAAAGAGACUGACAAAAAUAGUUAUGAAUAUAUGUAUGUCUUUGUAUACAUACUGAUUGGAAUAAUGUAUUGAUAUUUUUGUUUGAUGUAACAGUAAAUUAAAAUUUUGAGGUUAAAAUUAAAUAUAAUACUACUU